This 1209-nucleotide long non-coding RNA is filed under the name Chinchilla lanigera (long-tailed chinchilla). RNAcentral describes it as "lncRNA (ENSCLAG00000023155.1)". The record is from RNAcentral. Lineage: Eukaryota; Metazoa; Chordata; Mammalia; Rodentia; Chinchillidae.
AAGGAGAGAGAGAGAGACAAAGGGAGACAGACAGAGACAGGGGGAGGGGAGGGGAGGGGAGGAAAGAGGAGAGGAGAGGAAGGGAAGUAAGGGAGGUGUAGCUCACCCUGGAAUUGAACUCACUAUGUAGCCCAGGCUGGCCUUGAAAUCACAGUGACCCUCCUGCCUCAGCCUCCUGAGUGCUGGCAUUACAGGUGUAUGCUACCACAUCCCCCUUGUUUUGCUCUGGGCUGUAAGAUGGCUGAGGUGGUGAAGGGGCCACAAGUUGAACAAUACAAGUGAGCUCUAGAAACUAAAAAAGAUGACAACUAGAUGCUCCCCUAGAGUUUCCAGAAGGAAUGUAACCCUCACGCAUUUUGAUUUUAGAGGUCUGAUUUCCAUAUCGUGAAUAAAAUACAUUUGUACUUUUUAAACCACUAACUUGAUACUAAUUUGUUACAGCAGUGAUACUCCAUAAAUAAUUUUUUUCUCAUCUUAUUCUCUUGUUUUCUUCUUGAUUCUUUUUUUUUUUUUUCUUUUUUGAGACAGGCUCUCACUGUACAGUUCAGGCCCAUCUUGAACUCACUUUGUAGCCCAGGCUGGCUGUGAACUCACAAUGAUCCUCCUGCCUCAGCCUCCUGAGUGCUGGGAUUACACAUAUGCACCACCACGUCCGGCUCUUGAUUAAUUUCUUGCGCUCCCCAUAUCCUCCCUGAGACCCAAAGCAGUCCUCCAACCUUCAGCGUGGCCCCCUUCCGGUUGAGAAUGAAGUUCAGAAACUCAGGAGAGUGUCUCUGGACCGAGGAUGCUUAGUCCUGAGGUAGUAGGAGGCCAGACCCCGCAACAUGGCUGAGCAGCGCACCUACAAACCCAGGAGACUCCUGACCACGGCCGCAGAGCAGCCGCACCCAAGGCUGACGAGGGGUCACACUGAGCCCAGCACAGAUGCACGUGGAAGGGGAGGCUGUACUGUAGCCAUGGAGACCCCCUCAGUGCAGCCUCACGGCGGAGCGCUGCGCGGCAGCGGCCUCCAGAAAAUGGCAGAGGCGGUGAGUGGGUUCUUCCCUGUGGCCUUCGCGCGGAGCACGGCCCUACGCACGCAGCCUCCCCACUCUCUGUGUGCAGCCCGGGCACCCUGAUUCUAGACUUUUGGCCUCCAGAAUAGUGAAACAAUAAAUCUGUGUUAUGUAAGCCAUCAGGUUUGUGUUAUUGUAUUACAUUAGCCACGGG